Triticum dicoccoides is the source of this 152-nucleotide long non-coding RNA. RefSeq lists it as uncharacterized. The transcript is spliced from 3 exons. NCBI's taxonomy places the organism in Eukaryota, Viridiplantae, Streptophyta, Magnoliopsida, Poales, Poaceae. The record is from RefSeq and is a predicted model, not a curated record.
GUGUGAAUGUACAGUUCACUAUUAUACUUCAACAUGAUCAGGAUGCCUUUAAUCAAAAGGAUUGGUUUAGUCAACCCAUAAGAUUGAUUCAUUACCUUGGAGUUCCAGAGGGAUUUUGUGUAGCAUGUUCUUCAGCUGAGCGACUACUUCGU